Molecule: long non-coding RNA, 911 nt
Organism: Scaptodrosophila lebanonensis
Lineage: Eukaryota; Metazoa; Arthropoda; Insecta; Diptera; Drosophilidae
Exons: 2
Source: RefSeq, a predicted model, not a curated record
GUGGAUUCAGUGAUUUUUUUAAAAUCUAUUGUAUGUAGUCCUGCUCAUCAAAAAUAUUUAUUAUAUACUCUAUAAGGUCGAUGAAGCUUGCCUCUUUCUGCAUGUUACAUACAUAUCUGUACUAUUAGUAAUUUAUGUUGUUUAGUUAUUAAUAGCUAAUAUUUCAAUUCAUUUCAUUAUUCACAAAAAUUGGCUCAUAAAUUUGUGUGUAUCUAUAAUAGUUUAUAUGCAAACUUUCAAUAUAUUAAAGUAUAUUGGGAAUACUAAUUAUCAUGCCCAGCUAUUGAUUCAGUAGUUCGGCUCCGAAUUAGACAGUCUUAGACCGACUAUUUAUUUUGUGAAGGUCUGGCCACCAUCAAAUAAAUCAGUGGGCUCCAAUCAAAGCUAAGCUAUCUCGUACUCAGAUAAUCUGAAAAAAAAAAUGCUUUCCAUAUAUUUUACAGCAGUAGGCGAGUAUUUUGAUAGGUCAGAAAACGUUCGCAACACUCCCCAAUAGGCAAUGAAAUAGAUUCAAAUUCGACUGUGCCCGUGUCUUGUUUCUUGUGUAGAAUAGUACCAUAGACGGCAUCAGGAUGAAUUCUCCGUGUUGUCAGAUCUCGUAUGCGUUACGCUGUGGCCCCGUCGGGCCCUGUCUGCCCGAACUGAAAUAUUGUGGCUGCUGUCCUUCUGCUCCGCCUGCCUGCUGUUGCAAUUUCUACUAUGUCCCAAAUACCUGUGGUUGCUUUAACGAUGUCUGUCCUUCCAUGCCUGGUUGUGGUUGGUAAGAUCGAUGUCCUUACCAGUAUACUUGUAUGUAUGGGAACAGCAAACCGAUGUCGAAGUUGAAAAUGGAUUCUGGAAAAUAAACACAUAUUAUACAAAAUUCAACACUACUCAGCAAUAAAUUAAUACCGUAAUAUGCCAACCCCAAA